Molecule: ribosomal RNA, 301 nt
Filed under: uncultured bacterium
Lineage: Bacteria
Description: partial 16S ribosomal RNA
Rfam family: Bacterial small subunit ribosomal RNA
Source: RNAcentral
CAGUAGCCGCGGGAAUACGCAGGGGGCGAGCGUUGUCCGGAAUUACUGGGCGUAAAGGGCACGCAGGCUGUGAUUCAAGUCAGCUGUAAAAGGAUGCGGCUUAACCGUGUUUAGCAGUUGAAACUGGAUGACUGGAGUGCUGGAGAGGCAAGUGGAAUUCCCAGUGUAGCGGUGAAAUGCGUAGAUAUUGGGAAGAACAUCGGUGGCGAAGGCGACUUGCUGGCCAGUAACUGACGCUGAGGUGCGAAAGCCAGGGUAGCAAACGGGAUUAGAUACCCCCGUAGUCCCUGUCUCUUAUACA